Long non-coding RNA from Uloborus diversus, 588 nucleotides. RefSeq lists it as uncharacterized. The transcript is spliced from 4 exons. The record is from RefSeq and is a predicted model, not a curated record. NCBI's taxonomy places the organism in Eukaryota, Metazoa, Arthropoda, Arachnida, Araneae, Uloboridae.
AAAAUUAUUGCUAUUUUAUUUUAAGGGUGCUGGUGCACAGAAUUCUGAGGUCCAGACCGAUCAAAAUACGUCAGGAUGAAUUCCUUUUGCUUCCUAUGGAUUCCACUGUUCACCUGCGCGCUCACAGUGUGGUGUGUUGAACGGGCACCUGUUCCAACAAACAACGGGCGUGCUCCUUCGCCUGCUCUCGCUCCUGCACCUUCCUGCGGUCGCUGUGAACCCCGUAAUUGCCCCAGGAUCACUACCCCUUGUAUGUGUGGAACCUAUUUGGACGCUUGUAGGUGUUGCCCCAACUGCUACAAGUGCCCUGGUGAUACAUGCAGCAUUCUCAACAGCGAACGAUGCGCAGGAGGAAAACGAUGCUUGGCGCCACCAGAUGUCAGUCCGUACAUGGCGAUUAAGUACAACGGGACGUGUCAGUAACAGUACUCAUCACUGAACCACAUUAGUAGGAAAGCUAGUUCUGCAUGCUUCUUUUAAAAUAUGCAGAUGUAUUUUGUUUUGAUCGUAUUAACACUAGAUAUAAUAGAUAUAUGUGUAGUGAAGAAAUCAUAAUAAAUAUUUAAAAGGUACAAUAAAAAUUUUAUC